AGAGUUUGAUCCUGGCUCAGAAUGAACGCUGGCGGCGUGCUUAACACAUGCAAGUCGGAUGUGCCGCAAGGUGCAUGGCAGACGGGUGAGUAACGCGUGGGGAACCUACCUUUUUGUGGGGAAUAACGUUCCGAAAGGAACGGUAAUACCGCAUGUGACCAUGGACUGGAAUGUCGAUGGUGAAAGCUGGGGAUCGUAGACCCAGCGCAAGGAGAGGGUCCUGCGUCUGAUUAGCUAGUUGGUGGGGUAAUGGCCUACCAAGGCAUCGAUCAGUAGCCGGCCUGAGAGGGUGAUCGGCCACACUGGAACUGAGACGCGGUCCAGACUCCUACGGGAGGCAGCAGUGGGGAAUUUUGCGCAAUGGACGAAAGUCUGACGCAGCAACGCCGCGUGGGUGAUGAAGGUCUUCGGAUUGUAAAACCCUGUCGUCAGGGACGAAGGGUUGCGACCUAAUACGUCGUGACUUUGACGGUACCUGGAGAGGAAGCCCCGGCUAACUCUGUGCCAGCAGCCGCGGUAAUACAGAGGGGGCAAGCGUUAUUCGGAAUUAUUGGGCGUAAAGGGCGCGUAGGCGGCGUCGUAAGUAGGAUGUGUAAUCCCCGAGCUUAACUUGGGAACUGCAUCCUAGACUGCGAUGCUAGAGUGCUGGAGAGUGUGGUAGAAUUCCACGUGUAGCGGUGAAAUGCGUAGAGAUGUGGAGGAAUACCAGUGGCGAAGGCGGCCACCUGGACAGUAACUGACGCUGAGGCGCGAAAGUGUGGGUAGCAAACAGGAUUAGAUACCCUGGUGGUCCACACUGUAAACGAUGAACACUUGGUGUGGCGAGAGUUGACCCUCGCCGUGCCGGAGCUAACGCGUUAAGUGUUCCGCCUGGGGAGUACGGUCGCAAGGCUGAAACUCAAAGGAAUUGACGGGGGCCCGCACAAGCGGUGGAGCAUGUGGUUUAAUUCGACGCAACGCGAAGAACCUUACCUGGGCUUGAACUGCUAUUGACAGUGGCAGAGAUGUCAUUUUCCGCAAGGACAGUAGCAGAGGUGCUGCAUGGCUGUCGUCAGCUCGUGUCGUGAGAUGUUGGGUUAAGUCCCGCAACGAGCGCAACCCUUACCUCUAGUUGCCAGCACGUCAUGGUGGGAACUCUAGAGGGACUGCCCGGGUUAACCGGGAGGAAGGUGGGGAUGAUGUCAAGUCCUCAUGGCCCUUAUGUCCAGGGCUACACACGUGCUACAAUGGGUGGUACAAACCGUUGCAAUGUCGCGAGGCGGAGCUAAUCGGAGAAAGCCAUCCUCAGUUCGGAUUGCAGUCUGCAACUCGACUGCAUGAAGUUGGAAUCGCUAGUAACCGUGUAUCAGAAUGAUACGGUGAAUACGUUCCCGGGCCUUGUACACACCGCCCGUCACAUCACGAAAGCCGGGAGCACUUGAAGAGGGUGAGGUAACCGCAAGGAGCCAGCUCUCAAUGGUGAACUUGGUGAUUGGGGUGAAGUCGAAACAAGGUA
This 1495-nucleotide ribosomal RNA is filed under the name metagenome. Its description in RNAcentral is "bacterial SSU rRNA". It matches the Rfam family "Bacterial small subunit ribosomal RNA". The record is from RNAcentral.